CUUUCUUUGCUACCAGUUGACAUUUUGUUCUAAAAUACCACUGGGGAAUUUAGAUUGCCAGUGGAACUAGGUCAACUCAAUGAAAGCUAAUUUAUUGAAUGGCUAAUUGCCAAUUCACCAAAAGUUUCUUUGCUGAAAAUAAAUUUGCUGAAUCAUUAAAUAACUUACUAACCAAUGCACUGAAUACCAUCAACUGUGUUUUGGAUGACUGGCUGCAGACGUUGUGCUAUCAGAGCAAGAAGCACCUGGAGAGGAGACUCAAAAGUAAAGAAUUCUGAGACGCAAUGAAGAAACAAAAAUGAAGUGUUGGAGAUGAAACAAAAUGAACCCAGACGCUUGAAUGAAAUGCUAGGGUCAUGAGGAUAGACAGAGCACACUGAAUAAAGAGAACAAUACUUAGGGAAAAGAACA
Molecule: long non-coding RNA, 411 nt
Filed under: Felis catus (domestic cat)
Lineage: Eukaryota; Metazoa; Chordata; Mammalia; Carnivora; Felidae
Description: lncRNA (ENSFCAG00000051779.1)
Source: RNAcentral